CAGCUGCUCGACAUCAAGAAGAGUUUUGUACCAUAUAUAUCAAUAAUGGAGAUCAUCGAUCCAUACAAAGAUAAUGAGUUCUGAACUCAAUCGAUGAGAUCUAACGGUUAGAUCUGAUUUAAGGUAUUGAUGUGAUCGAUGUAGUUUUUAUUUACACAGAUUUUGUAUGUAAAAUUUUUAUAUCAUAGAUUCUUAAAAAUAGUUUAGAUCUAAUCUAAAGCAUAUGUAGGAGAUUAAAGUAUUUAAUCUAUUAUCUUUUGUUAUAAAAAUUUUAAAAAUGCAUGCUUUGAACUAUCUGUUUCUCCUACAAUUGGUAUCAGAACUUCGUUGCUCUUGACAUGAAUGUUUUGCAUAUAAUCUAAUUUUAAUAUAAUUUUAAUUAUUUAGUGAUAUAUCUUAAAUUUAUCGUAAGUGCACGGUGUGCAAUGUAGCACGUCCGACGAGUACGAGUCGAUCCCACAAGGAAUUGGAUUUUGAAUUGUAUUUAAAUGCUUGCUCAGGCGAGCUUUAGAGAAAAAGGGAAGAGAUUGUUUAUUGAAUUAUGAACUACCAAAG
Molecule: long non-coding RNA, 555 nt
Filed under: Elaeis guineensis (African oil palm)
Lineage: Eukaryota; Viridiplantae; Streptophyta; Magnoliopsida; Arecales; Arecaceae
Description: long non-coding RNA (EGUI_LNC034428)
Source: RNAcentral